AGGCUGCGAGUUCCCGGCUCUGGGGACUCACCUUGCGGAGCUUACCCAGGCGGACUCUCCGCAGCCCCUGAUGGGUGUGUGUGUCAGACCGUUUACUAAACACCAGGACUGUUGUAGGCGACUGUGAGGAGAACAGCCCAGUGAGGCUGAGGCCACACAAUUAACCCCAGUCUUUGCACUACAACUCUACCAGGGAUCCUGGUUUGGCUCAUUUUCUUUCUUCUGCACCAUGAUUGUUCACCUUUUCAUUACCAGCAACAUACCCAAAGACCUAGCUAUAGACUCGUUGGAAUCUGUUACUUAGCAGCUGUGUGAAUCAAGUGUUCAAUAGGAAUAAUAAGAUGUAUUCAUCUUACCUUUUCAGAACAUUAUGAAGAACAAAUGUGGUAAGACAUAUGAAAAUGCUUUGUAAAGUGUUAGAUGCUUAAUACACAGAAGACAUUGCUUCCAGAUCUGUUUCAACGUACCCCAAGAAUGGAAUAAGUGGAAUAUGCUGGUUUCAUGCACUGUGGCAAGGGGGUCUCAUCUUGGCUAGACUUGAAUAAGUGGAUUUGUUGCCUGGCCUCUGUGGAUGGCUCUUUCUCUGGGCUUUUGUGUAUUUGAUUUUUUAUUUGCUCCAGCAGCCGUGUUGAACCAUGAAAGGACCUCAGGAAUGAAACCCACACACAGCAAAGCAACAAAGUGAAAGAAGCGUGGAUUCCUAAUGCAGGAGGCACUGAACCAAUCAAUACCCACUGCCCUCCAGACCUCCACAUGAAAGAAAAAAACUGCUGUCCUGUAUUCCUUUAAGCCUCUCUGAAACUUGACCCUCUGGCAGGAACAGGUGCCAUUACAUACAGACACUCUCUCUCUUCCAAAUUCACCCUGUCAUAUCAAAGGGAAAACUGAAGUGGUCCACUGUAGACCUGACAGAUGAUCACAAACAGGAAACCAGCAAUCAGAAGUGCCUACUGAGCUCCCUACCCUGACCAUCACCUACAGCUACAUUUUACAGAUACAAAAUCAUUGUUUGUUCAACUUUCAUAUCAAAGGAUGCUAUUAGUUCAUUUCCAAAGGUGGGAAAAUGUUUCAACUUACUUUAUUACUUGUCUGCUACUUACUAUUUUCCCUCCGUUUGCCUGCCUGACUUCUUUUAACUCUUCACUCAACAAAUAUCUACUGACUACUGAGCACUUGCCAAGUGCUAGGCCAGAGCUGGAUGCUGUACUACGGGCAGAUGAAGUGCUAUGGGCAUCCAGAGGUGGAAGAAGAGGGUAUAGCGAAAGGGGAGAAAAGGCUGCAACAAUAUUCACUGAGCCCUGUGCUCCCAGGUCAUCACAUAGACUAUGUCAUUAUUCCUCCUAACCACCCACAUGAGUAAAUAGGGGCUAUUACUGAAGAAACAGAGGCUUACAAAGGUUGAGCAACUUGCCCAAGGUCAUCUAUCACAAGACACUACAAGUCAGACUGCUGAAGAGGGAGUUUCUGCUGAGAAGCUGAAGUGGGCAGCUCAUAUUGGAUAUGAAGGCUUCAAAGGAAUCUAAAUCCUAAUGAUCCCUCUAGAGCCAACAUGCAGCACCAGUUUUCUCUUCCACAUUUGAACUGCUCAUCCACUUCCGGCUCCAAGACCUCACUCUCCAUCUAAACUAGUCCCACGCCAUCCAUAUCUUUCUCCACUAACGCCACCCAAUCACAACCCCACAGCCUCUUAGUCAUGAGUCAUUUUUUAAAAACUGCAAACCAUGUAAUGAGCCAUGGCAAUAUGCAACCCUAAACCUCAACACGUGUUUUCCACAACAAGGCCACAGGUGGCAGAAGCGAGCCUAAGGCCGUAGGACACUAAGGCAGGACUCUCUGGCUUGAGCUUUCCAAAAAGGGAGGUGAGAGAAGGUCUACCUGCGGGAAGUCAUGCUGAAGGCCUGAGGCUGAGUCAAAGAAGGAGCCCCCUGGAGGCUCUGCAGUUCCUGGACUUCAGGAAAAACAUCCAGGCAAGUGGACAGCAUUUGCAACAGCCCAGCAAUAAGAAGGACCAUAUUCUACUUGGGAAAAGGUAAAGUCGUUUCAUAUGGACGGAGCCUGCCAGGAAACCUGUCAUUCAACCCUUUGCAAUAAAACAGCUCCUCAUGAAUGAAGCAAAAUAAAUCAGAAGUUGUGGGCUUUUAAACUCACUAAAUGAAAGCACAGCAUGCAUGCAGCCUCCCUCCAAAUUAAUCACCAGAUUAAAUGCAAGAUGUGCACACCAAAUCAAUAGCUUGUGACGGGGACCUCCUGCCUGUGCUUCAGGAAAAUUCCAUUUCCUUUCAGAUGUUGUCGCUUGAAAUGUCAGGAAGUUUCCAUUCAUCACCCGCCCUUGAAAAUGCCACCAUCACCAUACUUCAUGUUUCCUUGCUUUCUUUCUUCAGAGGAAUCCAAGCACCUUGCAGAGGGAGCCCACUCCUUGUCACAGACUCUCCUGGAGGCUGAAACAGGGGCAGUCUGCACAGAGGAGAGGUGUAGAGAGGCGCGAUUUAGAAAUAAGAAAACCAAAUCGUAAAGAAGCCUAAUGUCUUGUUGCAACAUCUGAAAGAAACAAGAUGAAUAUAUUCCACUAGGUGGGAAGCUUAGGGUAGUGGGAAGAACAUGGAUUCAGGACUUUGAGAAACAUGGAUUUAAAUUUUGAUCCCCAAUGCCUCUCUGCACUUCACUGUUAUCUAUAAAAUAGAGGAAAUAAAAAUACUAUACAUUCAAGUCUUAACACCAACAGUUAACUAGUUGUGUAACCUUGGACAAGUUAUGUGACCUCUCUGUCUGAGCAUUGUCAUUUGUAUAUGAGAUCAUGGAGGUUAAAUGUCCAACCUGUUGUCACUGUGCACCUCAAAAUAA
Molecule: long non-coding RNA, 2841 nt
Organism: Homo sapiens (human)
Lineage: Eukaryota; Metazoa; Chordata; Mammalia; Primates; Hominidae
Gene: FGGY-DT
Product: FGGY divergent transcript
Source: Ensembl